CUUAUCUUAUUCUCUCUUCUUUUUUCUGUUCUUCUUCAUCUUUUUCUCUGUCGAUCCCAAUUCAGAAGAAUUGGUUUGAAUCUUGUGUGUGUAAGCUUAGUAACACGGUAGACUGUCAGUGAUGAAGUUAGUUUAGCUUUAUAUGAAGAAGAAUUUGAUGCUGCUAAAGAGAAUUAGAAGUUAGGUUUUCUGAAGUAGGGUUCGUGUAGAACCGGCGAAGAUAUAAUGUUAAUAAUGGAUGAAGAGAAGAGGGGUUGUUGUUGAAUUGAUGUGAUAAAGCUGUUCAAUUGUGGAAUCGAAAGAAAAAGGUAAAUCAUUGAUUUAAUUAGGGUUUCUGUUUUGAUUUCUUUAUGAAAUUGAGUUUGGUUUGAUGUUAUAUUUUAUGGGUUUAUUCUUAAUUGAAGUUAGAUAGAUGUAUUAAGUUUAAUUUCAGUUUCUAGGAAGUUGAAUUGGAAAUUAGGGAUCAUCCUGUUUAGGGUUAGUUGGUAUGGAUUUGGGUCUGUGGAGAAGAAAAUUGGAGUUGUUAUGCUGAUGUUUAACAAGGAGAAGAUGAAGAUCUGUGUGUACAUCAAAGGCAGGAAGAUGGUUUAGAUACAAUGUCUGGUGUUGAUCAGAAUAGAGUUGUAGCAACUCAUGGUUGAUAAUAGAACCAACUGUGUUGGUAGAAUUGGUGAAUUGGGAUUGUUGUUGGUGUUUUGGAAUUAGGGUCAGAUAAGUUGGUUAUGGUGGUGGUGUUGUUGAAGCUAAUGGAGCUGGUGGUGAAAGGUUGCAACAAAUGUAGUUUGAAUGUGUGGGUGUUAGACAUUGUGUGUGUUGAAUGAGUCGAAGUUGAUUGAUAUGAACUAUAUGUAUGAACUGUGCAAGUGAAGUGGCAGAAAUGGUUACAGGGUAACUGGUAGAAGUAUAUGAAGUUUUGUCUUAGAAUGGGUUUUGUGGUGAAGAUGUUAAUGAAGAUUGAUUUUGAUCUAAGCAGUUAAAGUUGUGUUAAUGAAAUGGAAAUGGGAAUGAAAUGGUGGUGAAACUGAGAUAGGUGGAAGUGACGAUUGUAAUGGUGCUGAAAAGGUUGUAAUGUGGAAUGGAUAUGUAAGGGAGAAUUGGCAGUUGAGAUUGUUGGUGUUUUGAGAAUGGUGGCAAUGGUAUUACCAUGAAGACUUGAGUUUUGAGUUCAAGAUACAAACGGGUCUGGUGGUAUGAAUUGUAAGAAUCAAAGUAGGGAUGUUCUUAUUGAAUGAACUUUUCAAGUGAACCCUGGCGUUAUUGUUGCUAGUGUUGGGAAUUGCAAGGUGAAAGGAAAUGAAUUUGGAAAUAGAGAUGUAUGAAUCCGUUAAGAACAAAUGAAGUUAAUGAUGUUAUUGUUGAAAGCUUGUUAGAAAUGAGGAUGGAUGUUAGAUGUAGCUUUUAGGACUGUAUGUAGUUCGAAUAGUGUUUGUAACUGAUUGUUUUUAGCUUUGAGCAUCUUUUCUUUUCAGUCAGAUGUAACUGUUUUAUUUAACUUAGAUUUCUGACUGAGUCGACCUUCUUGACUCAGUGAUUCAA
Papaver somniferum (opium poppy) is the source of this 1536-nucleotide long non-coding RNA. RefSeq lists it as uncharacterized. The transcript is spliced from 2 exons. The record is from RefSeq and is a predicted model, not a curated record. Lineage: Eukaryota; Viridiplantae; Streptophyta; Magnoliopsida; Ranunculales; Papaveraceae.